CCUCAUCCUCUAUACAUACGGUCUGAUGAGUUGGUUUUGCUUGUGUUGUGAGGAGGCAUGUUGUGGUUAACAUCGAGUCAGGGUGCCUACCUUUGUAUUUGAAUCUGUGAGAUCUGGACCGUCAACCGCCAUGACCAUGAUCAACGCGUCCUCGGCCUCCCAGACGAGGAUGGAAUGAGCAGGGCAAGAGAAGAGGAGGGAGCAGGCCGACGCCCGACAGCG
Molecule: long non-coding RNA, 222 nt
Organism: Triticum dicoccoides
Lineage: Eukaryota; Viridiplantae; Streptophyta; Magnoliopsida; Poales; Poaceae
Exons: 3
Source: RefSeq, a predicted model, not a curated record